Molecule: ribosomal RNA, 397 nt
Filed under: uncultured bacterium
Lineage: Bacteria
Description: bacterial SSU rRNA
Rfam family: Bacterial small subunit ribosomal RNA
Source: RNAcentral
GGUUAACGCUGGCGGCGCGCCUGAUACAUGCAAGUCGAGCGAGGGCCCCUCUCCCGCAAGGGAGGCGGGUUCCUAGCGGCGAACGGGUGAGUAACACGUGAGCAACCUGUCCCGAAGUGGGGGAUAACAUCGAGAAAUCGGUGCUAAUACCGCAUGAGUUCACCGAGGACAUCCCCGGUGAGGAAAGCAGCAAUGCGCUUUGGGGUGGGCUCGCGACCUAUCAGCUAGCGGUGGGGUAAUGGCCUACCGAGGCUUUGACGGGUAGCUGGUCUGAGAGGACGACCAGCCACACGGGGACUGAGACACGGCCCCGACUCCUACGGGAGGCAGCAGUAAGGAAUCUUCCGCAAUGGGCGAAAGCCUGACGGAGCGACGCCGCGUGUGGGAUGAAGUCCCC